CGGUAUAUUUUAUUUGUUUACCGUUUGUGCUAUCUCAUUAGAAGGCAUAUAUUUUGUUUUGGCCACUCCCCUAUCUCCUGGUUGGCACAGAGCCCAGCUUAUGACUUAUGAAGCUUUCCGUUCAACCAAGCCUUCUGGGGCCCUCUAGGUCCUGAGCGGCCUCAACUUGCAGAGUAGGAAACUGGCUCAGAGAGGUGAGGUUGCUGGUCCAAGGUCACACAGAGACGGUCUUCUGCCUACCAUCCCCACCCCUACAGUUGCUAAAGGACACAGCCCCGUAAACCCGUGCACCAUCUCCUUACUCCUGCCCUUCGCAAACCCGUUCCUCCGACCUCUUCUCCGUCCGCUGGCAGGAGGGGUUGGGCUGCUUGAGCCAAUAGGAAGUCCCAAGGCGGGGCGUGGACCGCAGCAAGUUCGGUUGCGCGGAGACCGCAGCUGCUCCCUGUCACUGGAGCUAGCGUCUGUAGCGGCGGCGGCGACGACUUGCGGCGGCGGCGGCGAAGCGUUUCAGGUGAAGAAGCUCGAGGAGCCCAGCAGCAGGGAUUCGCCCGCGGCUGCUCGGUUAGGAGAUGGGGCUGGGCUCAGCUGCUACUUUCGCCGCUUUCAGCAGUUUACCGAGUGCACUCGCCGGGGGGCGGCGAGGAGUUUUGGACGCAGAAGCCUGGCUUUCCGGACCUGCCACGAAGGUCCCUCCCGGAAUGACCUGCUCUGUGCACCUUGAGUCGUUUCAUCUCGGGGGAGCUCGUUUCUCAUCUCACUAACGCUGGGAUUGCGCCUGCCUCUUUGAGCUGACAAGACCCGAGGGUAAGUCCUGUGCCUGAAUCCAGGUCGUGGGGUGGGUGGGUCUCCUUCAGGAGCAGCUAUCCAGGUUAGCAGUCCGGGCACGUCAGCUAUCAAGUGCGAUACAUAAUAAUGGCCAAGCUCUGAUUUUUGGAAAAUAUAAGCAGUCCUUGUCUGUUCCCAGUCUUUCUUGGUUUUUACUGGAAAAUGACAUCUGGGUCCCUCGCUGGCCCCAGUUGGCAACUGGUCAGCUUCAGCAGGAAGCCCGACCUCUAGAAGGGCGUGACUUGGGACGCGGGUCAUGGGGAGGGUGGCGAGGCUCCUCAGGACCCGAGGAAGCAUCUUAGGGCCGGGCAGUCUGCGCAGACCCCUUGAGUCAGCAUGGAAAGCAGGUGCUGGUGGUGAGGGACUCUGUCAGCUGGCUGUGAAAACACUGGGCACGCGUUCACACUGACCUCAGUCUGCCGUCACAGUGACGGGGGAGAGGUGGACUUGUCCCUUCUUUCUCUCGCGGAGUGCUCAGGCAGCAUCGCCCGUGUGACCGCCUGCUUUCCAGGUUUCUCCUCACACAGCUUCCCCCGAUGCACGGAGCCGGGUGCAUCUCCUCUGCUGCAAACCAGGGCCCUCUGGCCGGGGUCCACCUGACGAUCCAGUUCUGUCUCCUGUGCUGGCCCCAGGGAACAUUCCAGCCAGCUCUCCGACUAGCAUCGCCCCACCUCCACCCUGCUGCCCGCUGCCCUGGGGACUUUGUUGCUCAAGGACAGCUCUCCCCAGAGUCGAGUUCAGGGCUCAGGGUGAAGAUUUCUUUGGGGACUUUUUCUUGGGUUUCUACCCAGAGUAGCUGUUUUCCUCAGGAGACACUUCCUGACCCAGGAGUUGUUCUCCUUUCUGAGAUGUCCCCGCAGCUCCCUCUUGGGCCAGCAGCAGCCUCAAUUGAGUUUGCCCUAUUCUCUCUGCUUAUCUCAUCCUCCUGGUCUCCAUUGAUAGAGUUGAAUGUUAUUGCUCUUCCUUCCAUCCCUGCGAGGAGAGGUGGGGAGUUGGGUGAAGGUCUCUAACCACCGAUCUUAUGGAGCUGAGAAACAGGGAUCCGGAUCCGGAGAAGGCUGAUUAGCAGAAUUCAGUAUUCGGAUCCUUACCCCCUUGUGUGUCUUCCACCAAAUCCAUCAGUAGGAAGGGAAAAUUGGUGGCGAGAAGGGCUGCCUUCUCCCAGGUCAUCUAACUUGUUAAAGUUUGUUUGGUCUUCAGUCUCUAAGUCCCUGCUGAGUCUUGGAGUUUUGCUUAGUUACCACACUAAGACCCUCUGGUGGAAGGUUCUGCUCUGCCCUCCUCCUUUGCUAUAUCUCCUUGGUGAUUCUGAAUGUGGGCUUUUUGUUUUUUAAUCCUUACCUAAGGAGUGAGGAUAUUUUUUCCAUUGAUUCUCAGAGAGUGGAAGGGAGAGGGCAGGGAGAGAGAAAAG
This is a long non-coding RNA of Myotis lucifugus (little brown bat), 2236 nucleotides long. RefSeq lists it as uncharacterized. The transcript has 4 exons. NCBI's taxonomy places the organism in Eukaryota, Metazoa, Chordata, Mammalia, Chiroptera, Vespertilionidae. The record is from RefSeq and is a predicted model, not a curated record.